RNAcentral lists this ribosomal RNA (307 nucleotides) under Sinocoelotes mangbangensis. RNAcentral's name for it is "partial 12S ribosomal RNA". The record is from RNAcentral. Lineage: Eukaryota; Metazoa; Arthropoda; Arachnida; Araneae; Agelenidae.
AAACUAAUUUAGUUUGGCGGCAUUUCAUCUAUUUAGAGGAAUUUGUCCUUUAAUCGAUAAUCCACGUUAAAUUUCACUUUAGUUAAAAACUUAUAUACCUCCAUCUUAAGAAUUAAUUUAAAAAUAUUUCUCUAAAUAAUUUAUAAAAAGUUAGGUCAAGGUGUAAUCCAUAUUAAAGAAAAAGAUGAAUUACAUUAAAUAUUAUUUAAAGAUUAUUAAUAAAUAUAUAAAUAUAAAUAAGAAUUUAAAAGUAAUUUAUAAACAAUAAUAAUAUAUGAUAAAGAUAAUAAAUGUGCACACAUCGCCC